UUUGGUUAAGUUAGAAAGGGCGCACGGUGGAUGCCUUGACACUAGGAGUCGAUGAAGGACGGGACUAACGCCGAUAUGCUUCGGGGAGCUGUAAGUAAGCUUUGAUCCGAAGAUUUCCGAAUGGGGAAACCCACCAUACGUAAUGGUAUAGUAUCCUUAUCUGAAUACAUAGGGUAAGGAAGACAGACCCAGGGAACUGAAACAUCUAAGUACCUGGAGGAAGAGAAAGCAAAUGCGAUUUCCUGAGUAGCGGCGAGCGAAACGGAACAUAGCCCAAACCAAGAGGCUUGCCUCUUGGGGUUGUAGGACAUUCUAUACGGAGUUACAAAGGAACGAGGUAGACGAAGCGACCUGGAAAGGUCCGUCGUAGAGGGUAACAACCCCGUAGUCGAAACUUCGUUCUCUCUUGAAUGUAUCCUGAGUACGGCGGAACACGUGAAAUUCCGUCGGAAUCUGGGAGGACCAUCUCCCAAGGCUAAAUACUCCCUAGUGAUCGAUAGUGAACCAGUACCGUGAGGGAAAGGUGAAAAGCACCCCGGAAGGGGAGUGAAAGAGAUCCUGAAACCGUGUGCCUACAAAUAGUCAGAGCCCGUUAACGGGUGAUGGCGUGCCUUUUGUAGAAUGAACCGGCGAGUUACGAUCCCGUGCGAGGUUAAGCUGAAGAGGCGGAGCCGCAGCGAAAGCGAGUCUGAAUAGGGCGUUUAGUACGUGGUCGUAGACCCGAAACCAGGUGAUCUACCCAUGUCCAGGGUGAAGUUCAGGUAACACUGAAUGGAGGCCCGAACCCACGCACGUUGAAAAGUGCGGGGAUGAGGUGUGGGUAGCGGAGAAAUUCCAAUCGAACCUGGAGAUAGCUGGUUCUCCCCGAAAUAGCUUUAGGGCUAGCCUUAAGUGUAAGAGUCUUGGAGGUAGAGCACUGAUUGGACUAGGGGUCCUCAUCGGAUUACCGAAUUCAGUCAAACUCCGAAUGCCAAUGACUUAUCCUUAGGAGUCAGACUGCGAGUGAUAAGAUCCGUAGUCAAAAGGGAAACAGCCCAGACCGCCAGCUAAGGUCCCAAAGUGUGUAUUAAGUGGAAAAGGAUGUGGAGUUGCUUAGACAACUAGGAUGUUGGCUUAGAAGCAGCCACCAUUUAAAGAGUGCGUAAUAGCUCACUAGUCGAGUGACUCUGCGCCGAAAAUGUACCGGGGCUAAAUACACCACCGAAGCUGCGGAUUGAUACCAAUGGUAUCAGUGGUAGGGGAGCGUUCUAAGGACAGUGAAGUCAGACCGGAAGGACUGGUGGAGUGCUUAGAAGUGAGAAUGCCGGUAUGAGUAGCGAAAGACGGGUGAGAAUCCCGUCCACCGAAUGCCUAAGGUUUCCUGAGGAAGGCUCGUCCGCUCAGGGUUAGUCAGGACCUAAGCCGAGGCCGACAGGCGUAGGCGAUGGACAACAGGUUGAUAUUCCUGUACCACCUCUUUAUCGUUUGAGCAAUGGAGGGACGCAGAAGGAUAGAAGAAGCGUGCGAUUGGUUGUGCACGUCCAAGCAGUUAGGCUGAUAAGUAGGCAAAUCCGCUUAUCGUGAAGGCUGAGCUGUGAUGGGGAAGCUCCUUAUGGAGCGAAGUCUUUGAUUCCCCGCUGCCAAGAAAAGCUUCUAGCGAGAUAAAAGGUGCCUGUACCGCAAACCGACACAGGUAGGCGAGGAGAGAAUCCUAAGGUGUGCGAGAGAACUCUGGUUAAGGAACUCGGCAAAAUGACCCCGUAACUUCGGGAGAAGGGGUGCUUUCUUAACGGAAAGCCGCAGUGAAUAGGCCCAAGCGACUGUUUAGCAAAAACACAGCUCUCUGCGAAGCCGUAAGGCGAAGUAUAGGGGGUGACACCUGCCCGGUGCUGGAAGGUUAAGGAGAGGGGUUAGCGUAAGCGAAGCUCUGAACUGAAGCCCCAGUAAACGGCGGCCGUAACUAUAACGGUCCUAAGGUAGCGAAAUUCCUUGUCGGGUAAGUUCCGACCCGCACGAAAGGUGUAACGAUUUGGGCACUGUCUCAACCAGAGACUCGGUGAAAUUAUAGUACCUGUGAAGAUGCAGGUUACCCGCGACAGGACGGAAAGACCCCGUGGAGCUUUACUGUAGCCUGAUAUUGAAUUUUGGUACAGUUUGUACAGGAUAGGCGGGAGCCUUUGAAACCGGAGCGCUAGCUUCGGUGGAGGCGCUGGUGGGAUACCGCCCUGACUGUAUUGAAAUUCUAACCUACGGGUCUUAUCGACCCGGGAGACAGUGUCAGGUGGGCAGUUUGACUGGGGCGGUCGCCUCCUAAAGUGUAACGGAGGCGCCCAAAGGUUCCCUCAGAAUGGUUGGAAAUCAUUCGUAGAGUGCAAAGGCAUAAGGGAGCUUGACUGCGAGACCUACAAGUCGAGCAGGGACGAAAGUCGGGCUUAGUGAUCCGGUGGUUCCGCAUGGAAGGGCCAUCGCUCAACGGAUAAAAGCUACCCCGGGGAUAACAGGCUUAUCUCCCCCAAGAGUCCACAUCGACGGGGAGGUUUGGCACCUCGAUGUCGGCUCAUCGCAUCCUGGGGCUGUAGUCGGUCCCAAGGGUUGGGCUGUUCGCCCAUUAAAGCGGUACGCGAGCUGGGUUCAGAACGUCGUGAGACAGUUCGGUCCCUAUCCGUCGUGGGCGUAGGAAAUUUGAGAGGAGCUGUCCUUAGUACGAGAGGACCGGGAUGGACGCACCGCUGGUGUACCAGUUGUUCUGCCAAGGGCAUAGCUGGGUAGCUAUGUGCGGAAGGGAUAAGUGCUGAAAGCAUCUAAGCAUGAAGCCCCCCUCAAGAUGAGAUUUCCCAUAGCGUAAGCUAGUAAGAUCCCUGAAAGAUGAUCAGGUUGAUAGGUUCGAGGUGGAAGCAUGGUGACAUGUGGAGCUGACGAAUACUAAUAGAUCGAGGACUUAACCAUAUAA
RNAcentral lists this ribosomal RNA (2929 nucleotides) under Bacillus sp. HBCD-sjtu. RNAcentral describes it as "bacterial LSU rRNA". It matches the Rfam family "Bacterial large subunit ribosomal RNA". The record is from RNAcentral. Lineage: Bacteria; Bacillati; Bacillota; Bacilli; Caryophanales; Bacillaceae.